UACGGAGGGUGCGAGCGUUGUUCGGAAUCACUGGGCGUAAAGCGCGUGUAGGCGGCCUGCUAAGUCUGAUGUGAAAGCCCGAGGCUCACCCUCGGAAGUGCAUUGGAAACUGGCAGACUGGAGUCCCGGAGAGGAGGGUGGAAUUCCUGGUGUAGCGGUGAAAUGCGCAGAUAUCGGGAGGAACACCGGUGGCGAAGGCGGUUCUCUGGGCCUGACCUGACGCUGAGGAGCGAAAGCGUGGGGAGCGAACAGG
This 253-nucleotide ribosomal RNA is filed under the name uncultured bacterium. Its description in RNAcentral is "partial 16S ribosomal RNA". It matches the Rfam family "Bacterial small subunit ribosomal RNA", at positions 524 to 776 of the family's 1533-position model. The record is from RNAcentral.